GAUGAAGAACGCAGCGAAAUGCGAUAAGUAGUGUGAAUUGCAGAAUUCAGUGAAUCAUCGAAUCUUUGAACGCACCUUGCACCCUUUGGACUGCUCCAAAGGGUAUGCUCGUUUGAGUGUCAUUGUACUCUCACACUCUCUGAUCCUUUGGAUUUGGGGAGCAGUGGACUUGGGUGCUUGCUGCUUCCUUGUGGCUCACCUGAAAUGCAUCAGUGCAUCUCUCGAUUGGACAUAGUACGGCGUGAUAAGUGUCUUCGCCGGCACCUCAUAUGAGGGUGGCCGAUCGGGAGCUCUGUGCUUUCAAACCGUCUUCGGACAACGCUGACAACUUGACCUCAAAUCGAGUAGGACUACCCGCUGAACUUAAGCAUAUCAAUAAGCGGAGGA
RNAcentral lists this unclassified non-coding RNA (387 nucleotides) under soil metagenome. RNAcentral's name for it is "partial contains 5.8S ribosomal RNA, internal transcribed spacer 2, and large subunit ribosomal RNA". The stretch from base 1 to 122 matches the Rfam family "5.8S ribosomal RNA", at positions 35 to 154 of the family's 154-position model. The record is from RNAcentral.